Molecule: long non-coding RNA, 791 nt
Organism: Paramacrobiotus metropolitanus
Lineage: Eukaryota; Metazoa; Tardigrada; Eutardigrada; Parachela; Macrobiotidae
Exons: 3
Source: RefSeq, a predicted model, not a curated record
CAAACUACGGCAUUGCCGUUUAGCGAAUAUAAACUGCAUAACUGUUAUUACGAGUAUAUCUGCUAUAAUAUCGUGUAGCAGCACACGGAUUCUGUAAUACUGUAUACAUAUCACCGGACACCGAUUUCGUCACCCCCGUAAGUUAAGCUCUCGGCUGGAGCUUGAUGGCGGAUACCAGAGACAUCCAUUUUUGUUAAAGAAGCCAGCGGAUUAUUACUCAUCGCUGGGAACAGUCUACAGAUCUGCAGGCAUCAUGGAGAACCAGGCACGGGAUAUGACGCAACGCAAUGGACGGACUACGGCGAGCAUCAGCCCCAGCAGUAAUGGAGCACACACCGCUCAUUCAACCGCCACUCGCUCGUGUUCGGGAUCAGCGCGUCUUUCCGCUUCAUCGGCCGGGUGCGGUUCGUCUGGCCGGCGGAUGGAGGGUUUGGAGAGGAUCUUCUCUGUCUCGUCAUCGGAGGAUUCCACUGGGCCUAAGAUAAUACAAUUGGGCCGAUUACGCUUUAUAAAAAAUUGCUGGAAGAAAUUCCAUUAGUCUGAUCGGGUGGCAGCGACGCACGUUGCCGCUGAACCAUAAACAAUAAUACGGCCAUUUUAUCAAGUGAAUAUAUAGACGGCCAGAUUGCCGCGAUGAUUGAUCGAUGCGCUCCGGGGCGAUUCAUGAUCAUCGCAGCGUAAUUACGGCAUGUAAACAUGCUGUCUGGAAAAUUCACCCGAAUUCCUGGUAAUUGUUGUUUUUAAAUCUGUAUGUUUAUGAAGACCAGUGCUUAUAAAUAAAAGUAAGUAUC